ACGGAAACCUUUUUUUUUUAUUUUAUUUUAUUUCACGUUAGUAUAAUUUAAAACAAAUUGAAUUGUGUCAAAUAAUGUGUCUUAGUUUUUGGAACAUUUAAUAAUGCUUCUCCUUAAUGCUGUUAACAUUCCUCUAAUUCUUUUUACAGUAUUCCAGUUUCUGGCUCACCCUCUGAAACUGUCCAGAUGCAACAAAAUGAUGGUGAUGAGCCUGGUAUGUCAAAUGAAGGCAGAGGGGAAGAUGAAGAAAGUUAAAUUAAUGCAUAAUACUAAACCGUAGACAGUCUGAAGUGAGAAACCUAUGAAACAGGUGUGAAACUUUUGACAAUGGAGUUGAAAUCUAACAAAGCAAAACUAAAGAAGAAGAAAAUGUCAAUUCUGCAAUUAUGGUGCUCAUUUUACAUUUAUUUUGUUUUACUUUUUGUUACAUUUUUCAAGUAUUCAGUUUGAUUGUUGACUUUUAAGUUAAUUUUGUGUAGUUCAUUUUCAUUUUUAAUUUAUAGAGCUUUGCUGCUUUACUAUUUUGUGCUUCAUUUUCUUCAUCAUUGCAGUAGUACAUUCAUUUAAUCUUGACACUUGUUCUAUUGCUUGGCUUUUUUUUUUCCCUGCGAGGACACUCGCAAGCCCAGACACUCGGACUCCUCGCUCAGUCUCUCAAGCGCCCUGAAAUGUUUGCUGUGUUUGUUCUUCUUUAACACUGUAAAGGCAUGGUGUUAUUUUAGUUUAAGAUCCACUAUUGUCAGUGUGGGCAUGAAUGUGAAUACACCUUACUGAGUAACAUG
Erpetoichthys calabaricus (reedfish) is the source of this 782-nucleotide long non-coding RNA. RefSeq lists it as uncharacterized. The transcript is spliced from 3 exons. Lineage: Eukaryota; Metazoa; Chordata; Cladistia; Polypteriformes; Polypteridae. The record is from RefSeq and is a predicted model, not a curated record.